CCCCCCCCCGCGACCCGGAAGUAGUAGCGGAGCAGGACCCGGAUGUGGCUGGACAGGUGUUGGGACCGGGCGAUCCGCUUCCCGCCGCCGAGCGCGCGCAACCCACCCGGAUCUGCGCGCGGCACCGCCUGGGUUACCUGGAGUUGGAGAAGGAUGUUGGGCACCUUAAUAAGAUAGAUAAUUGUGGUACUUUUGCUUGCAGAGCAAAAAUUCAUUCAUCACUUUCCCUGCAUCUCCAGCUCUCUCUUCUACCUGAUGUUUUAGAGCUUCUCAAUACAGAGACUAGCACAUUACUACUUAGGCAGUAGUAAGCGCUGUAAAUGUUGGGAGUUUAUUAUUUUUCUUGGGUCCGUGUCCUUCAUUAUUAUGAUAAUGAUAAAAUCUUGAUUUCUUUCUUGCUGAUUUUUGGUCUUUCCUGUAUGAUUCUCAGUGAUGUUGUGAGAAACUGUAUCUUGGAAAGUUUGGAAGUAGAGAUGGGGGAGAGAUGGACUGACUGGGCCAGGAGACUGGGAACAGGGAGAUGGGAGGGGAAGAAUUGGGAGCCUGAGGGGAGAGGAGGAAGACAGAUUAAGAGUUUAGGGUUGUUGGAGGGUUCUGGCUAGACAAGGACACUGGGAAUUGGGGGAAGACAGAUCAAAUGAGGAGCUUAGGGUGGGGGGGAAUAUGGGGCAGCUGGGCAAGAACACUGGGAGCCUGUGGGGAAAAUGACAGAUCAGAUGUGGAGGCUGACUCAAGGUGGAAACUAAGACUGGCAGGGCAAUGAGACUAGAACUGGGAUGAAUACUAGGACUGGAUAGGAAGUAGAACGGGAUGAGGAGGCAGGGGUGGGGAAGAUAGGACUGAUUGAAGGGAAUGGGUCAGAAGGGGUCAUACUUGGGGACAACAGUCAGAGGUGACUGUGCCCACUAGAGAACACUCCCUUCCAAAGCCUGGAACGGAACCCAAGAUUCCUGAGUCGUCUCAUUCUUCUGUCACCAAAUAGCUGUGAAACCCACUGGCAAAGGAUGCUGCUUAUCCCACUGUAGUAGCUGGUCCACAGAGAGGGUGACAACCUACCAUUGCUAUGAGUUACUCUGUUAGAAGAACUGGCAGAGGCAGAGGUCUGUGCUAUGGAUCCAAAGGACACCCUGCUGACAACCAAGUGGGAGUCGGACCCUUGCCUCAUUCACAGGAAGAACCUUCUCUGGCAGUGUGUAGUAAAGGAAUAUGUCUGUAGGACUGCUGCUUCAUUUGUUGCAGAAGUUCGAAGGUGUGUAGUACAUGAUGCAGGGGAUUACGGGAAGAGAAAAGUUGAUCCUGAAGGAUGACCCAUCACUCUCACAGAUCUUGGGAGACAGGCCAGUCCUUGCUUACAGACAGCCCCCCAAUCUGAAGCAAAUACUCACCAGCAACCACUCACCACACAACAGAACCACUAA
Dermochelys coriacea (leatherback sea turtle) is the source of this 1418-nucleotide long non-coding RNA. RefSeq lists it as uncharacterized. The transcript has 3 exons. The record is from RefSeq and is a predicted model, not a curated record. NCBI's taxonomy places the organism in Eukaryota, Metazoa, Chordata, Testudines, Dermochelyidae.